Molecule: long non-coding RNA, 606 nt
Organism: Armigeres subalbatus
Lineage: Eukaryota; Metazoa; Arthropoda; Insecta; Diptera; Culicidae
Exons: 2
Source: RefSeq, a predicted model, not a curated record
UUAUUUUCAGUCACAUGCACACUAUUAUACACUUCUGUCAAAAUACGAGAAAAGAAGAAAAACCAAAACAACAUUUUCAAGGCAGGCCGCAGCAGAUGAGGAAAUUCGAACUUCGAGGGCAGUUUUUAUUCGAUUUUCUCGAUUUUUAUUACUUUCUUCCCGGUACCUAAAAGUGUAAAAAUGCACCAGCUGAAGCUUUGAGUUUUGUGACCUAUCGGAUAUUACGGCUAACAAGGCAGAUCAUUGUAGAGAUGCAGACUUUUCGAAUGGUGAAUCGCGUGAUUGGCCGCAUAUUUUCGGAGAUCCUCAAAAAAUCGAUAGUACUAUGGUCGACUGGAGGCAGCUUCCAGUCGCGUGUAGAUGGUACAGAAAGUAGAAAAAUGUUUAUAUUUCUGAUUCCUUCAAGGCUAAUAAUGGGUGCAAAUCCAUGCUUCCGGAGAUGAGGGAAAUAACAACCGACAGAAACAUGCAUGUACGAAAGAAUUUCAGGUUCAAUUCGUGUACUAGUGCUGCGACCAAUCGUAUGAAACCCUUUGCCAAUAAGUGUAAACCUGCGAAAGUUGCUAUUAAAUUUGUCAUGAAUACAAGUUUCCAUAAUAUGUAGAA